UGAGUUAUGUCAUGUUAUCGAUAUGUGAAUACAUAGCAUAUCAGAAGGCACACCCGGAGAACUGAAACAUCUUAGUACCCGGAGGAAGAAAAAGAAAAUUCGAUUCCCUUAGUAGCGGCGAGCGAAAUGGGAAGAGCCCAAACCAACAAGCUUGCUUGUUGGGGUUGUAGGACACUCUAUACGGAGUUACAAAGGACGACAUUAGACGAAUCAUCUG
Molecule: ribosomal RNA, 217 nt
Filed under: Staphylococcus aureus
Lineage: Bacteria; Bacillati; Bacillota; Bacilli; Caryophanales; Staphylococcaceae
Description: partial 23S ribosomal RNA
Rfam family: Bacterial large subunit ribosomal RNA
Source: RNAcentral